UACUCCUACGGGAGGCAGCAGUGGGGAAUAUUGGACAAUGGGGGCAACCCUGAUCCAGCCAUGCCGCGUGUGUGAAGAAGGCCUUCGGGUUGUAAAGCACUUUCAGUAGGGAGGAAAGGUAAUAACUUAAUACGUUAUUACUGUGACGUUACCUACAGAA
This 160-nucleotide ribosomal RNA is filed under the name uncultured Shewanella sp. RNAcentral's name for it is "partial 16S ribosomal RNA". It matches the Rfam family "Bacterial small subunit ribosomal RNA", at positions 334 to 486 of the family's 1533-position model. Lineage: Bacteria; Pseudomonadati; Pseudomonadota; Gammaproteobacteria; Alteromonadales; Shewanellaceae. The record is from RNAcentral.